UCUUAGAUAGACAAACUGCAGCUCCUUUCUUGGGAGGGAACCUGCAAAAAAUAGACUUAUAAGCAUUUGGUGCUCUGGCUACAAAUGUUAUAGCUAAACAUGUCAGAAUGAGUAUCAGGAUGCGAAGACUGCAUCGCAGUUGUGGUUCCCAGAUUGGAUCAUGCCCCCGACCAGCGAACAGUCCUUUUUACAAACCUGAACCCUAUUAGACUGAGCACUGCUUACCAGAGACAAAAGUUGAGUUAUCAGAAUACAUGUACAUAAUAAAUUUAGAGUAUUUUAGUUGCAUUGGAGUUUCUUAAAUUUCACUUCUGGACAUGAUAUUUUGGACUAUUAGUUACUCAAAAUGCAUACUUCUGAUGCAUCUUUUCUUCUUCUGUUCAUAUUAAUUUGAUGUCCCAAUGCUAAACUAUGUGCAGGCAGACGAAGGAGGUCUGCCUCUGCCAGAGAAGUAACUUGCGCCUGCCACUCUCUACUCCUCCACCUCGCCUUUCCCUUCAUUAUGCUCCCUAUUUAUUUCUGGGUGCUCCUCCUAAACUUCGGAGAUGAAUUGCAGCCCGUGGCCUCUUCUACUGCACACCCAAGGGUGACAAGCUCCACUGACUAGCAUCUUAGAUGCCCCUCGGCCACAUCGCCAUGUGAGGUGAGCAAGCACUCCGUCCCCAUCUUAUUACUCUUCUUAGACAAAACUUCUAAAGCAUGGAUUAGAGCCUAAAGGGUUCACAAAUCUGUUGUAAAAAAAUAUUGUAGUAUUGCACCAUUCACACGCAAAGAACUGGUGAGGUAUCAGUAUAAGUUAUAGUACCGCCUUUUUUACAUGAAAUUUUUGUUUCGAACUUUGUAAGGAUUUAAGAGGAAAAAAAUUCAGCAGGACCAGUUUACAUAUUUCAAAUGAUGGUCUACCUUACCAUUCCGAUAGAAAUUAAACUCAUUUCGAAUUGCUAAGAUAAUAAAUUCUAUUUUUGGGAUCGACUGCUAGCUGGCUGAUUUACUGAAGAAAAAUUUACUGGAAGUGGCACAUUUUUCCUCGCUGUUAUAACUCAUGUCAUGUUUUAUAUUGUUCACUAAGCUUCAACCGAAUAGAUCUAGAAGGGGAGCUGGCCAUGGAAUUCGGAAGGACAAAGACUCAAGAACAGGUAGAUAAUGGUACUCCAAUACGAUUUGUUGUAGCUCCAUACAAGAAAGCUUUAAAAAAGAUCCUGUUACAGUUCAUCUAAAUUCUGUUACUUCAACGGAUGGUCAAAUGCAGAUUUAAAUGUGUUAUUUGUGUUCUGUUUGCCUCUCUGAUGAAAGAAUAGUUCAUUAAUUAUGCAUACAAUGUUUGUGUUCAGCUAUCUACUUAUCUUACAUAUAGUUCAGCAGGGUGUGCCCACAUACCCUGUCAAAUAUUCUUCAACCGCACAUAAGUUACAUGGUACAAGAAUAAGAAGUAAUUUUCUUAAUGAAGUUAUUGAGAUGAAGCUUCAUAUAAAAAAAGUGACCCAACUCAUUGCCCUUUGCAAAGUAUGUUACUUUGCCUCUGCAUGCUUGGUCAAUUUGGUAGAACAGUUAUGUUCACCAAUGGGAUUAUUGGUCUGCCUACUUCAUGCUAUAUAUCUGCAACUUUUUUGGUUUUCAAAAGGAAAAUUACAUAUGCUUUUCAUGUGCAUAGUUAAUCGGUAAGAUCUAAGAUGGACCUGCUCUGAUUAUGUAGUUCAGGGACUAAAGCUCUACUAACUACAAGCUCUGUUUAUGUAGUUCAGGGACUAAAGCUUUGCUAACUACAAGUUGUAGAUUUUGUUGCAGCUGAAGCUAUGUAUCAGUGCAUAAAGUGUGCUCAGUUAUGUUUUUUCCCUGCAGUUGUUAUUAAUUCUUAAAAAAGGCUGUUUAUUUGAGCAGGGUAGAUGCCAACAUUUCUAUCUCAAUAUGUCUCUGUCUAUCUCAAUAUGUUUGUCUGCUUUUCGAUCAAGGUGAACGAAGAUGGAAUGGGUAAUACACCACACACGCACACUGAACUGAUAUUAUUGUAUCAUUGUUGCCAUGUAUAAUUAGUGUCUGCCAGUUUACCAGUAAUAGAGAAUGAUUUGUGUUUGUUACAGUGAGGUCUUCCAACUUAAGCAAAAAAGGAUGUACAAUAACAUCGACUAUUGCUUCAUAUUCUGAAGUGAUGUGCAUAUCCUACAAAGAUUUGUACGCCUAUUAGCACUGUUCAUUUUGCAAGUAGUUCCUCAUCUAAGCUGCAAGUUCAUUUACGAACCAUCUUCCUUCCAGAUUGAGCACGAUGAUGCUUUGUUUUUUGAAUCAUAUACUAAUAUGUAUGAAAUCAGAGGAUCAAACUCCUGGCAUUGGAACUCGAGUUGCUUCUAAUUGUGUACCAAGAUAUACUGAUGAGCUCCACAUAAAGUACUGGCAUUGAGCGAACUUCAGUGCUGACAUUUUCGAGUUCCAAGGAUCAAAUUGCAGUUGUCAUUGGCAUUUGAACAUCAUUUUAGAGUUGCUCCUAAUCAAGUAUUGAGAUAUACUAAUGAAAUCCACAUGAAGUAUUGACACUGAGCAAACCUGAAGAUUUAGAAGGCCAUAGUUUCCUCUGUACCGCUGUAUUGUUAUUUCUUCGAUUGUUCAUUAUGUACAAAUUUACUGCCUUACUCUAUUUAAUAAUGUCAGAAUGACGAACUUGUGGAGUCAGAGCAAAUGGCAGCCGGUUAUGUAAGCGAAGAGUUGUGGUCUUGGUCUUACAACAUCUCAGAGAAGUUGAUCUAAAGCCUAGAACCAGUAUGAAGAUUGUUGAUAAAGAAGUAUGAGGCAUCUUAGGAAUUCACAACAAGGGAUUACCGAAGUGUUGAAACCAUAAAUGACAGGUGUGGACCUUAGAUGACAUGAGUAUGUAAUAUGUUGUCGUUUCAAAACCAGAAGUUAUGAGAUGAGUAGUAUACAGAAUACUAAACCAGAGGUUUCUUGA
Molecule: long non-coding RNA, 2938 nt
Organism: Lolium perenne
Lineage: Eukaryota; Viridiplantae; Streptophyta; Magnoliopsida; Poales; Poaceae
Source: RefSeq, a predicted model, not a curated record